GUAAAAGCUGUAACCCGGAGGAGGAAGAGGCGGGGCUGACGGAGCUCUUCAGACGCGAAACUUCUAUACGCUACCUUUCAGUUUUGAGUGAGGGUGGACGUGCGUAAUCCCCACUGGGAUCCCCACAUCCCUUCUAGGUGAUUCUUCUCCCUGCCGGUACGCCCGGCCCAAGGGGUGUUUCCGUUUCUCUCUGGAGGGUCCCAGGGUUUGUGUGUGUAGCUCUGGCUGUCCUGGAGCUCGAUUGUAGACCAAAGGGGCCACAAACUCAACGACCCGCCUGUCUCCCAAGUGCGGAGAUUAAAGGCGGUUGCCACCACACACUGCUUUAAUUUAAAAAACUAAACAGAUGGCAACCAACAAGCCUUCGAGCCUGCUAGAAGAGGCCCAGUUGGUACGGUAAUACUUAUUCACCAAGCUGGUCAUCGACGAGAGUGAGGAUAUCCUAGACGGAGCAAGAAUGGGCAGAGGCUGAAGACCCUACUAUGAAGCUUACUUUUCAAGCACAGAAAAUUUGGUCUACAUAGCCUCUUUUACAAGGUGACAUUUUUUUUUAACCUUAAAGUAGAGGAAAAUGAAAAGUGGACAAGAAAACUUUGGAGUAAAGAUGGUGAGUUGGUUCUAUUCUUGUUCAGUUGUCUUCCCCACUACCCACUGCUCUGGUCUAAAGGAAAAAAAAAAAGCAACUAUGAGAAUUCUGACCUUUUCAAAAUGAGUGAUUAUAAGGUGAUUACAUUCUCACUCAUCUGUGUGAAUGCCAAAACAUAGAAAGCUAUCUUUGAGAGCAAAAAAGCCCUAUUUUAGUUGACCAGCCACCUAUGUUGGGGAUCUUAAGAGGUCUCUUUUACCACCCUUCAGAUCCACCCACCACCACACAUUAAUUAAUGUGAAACCAAUUCAAAGCCACAAAGACCUGAGGCAUCAGGCUCCAGAUGCUGCCCCAAGAAUCUUUUCCAUUCUAGUAACCAAGUGUUUUCCAGAGUUGGGGAGGGUAGAAAGAUAAAGAGGGUGUUGAGGGGGAAGGAAGAGAAAGAGGAUAGGGAGGCCAGAGAGCUUAGCAUAGUGUUUCUGUUUGUGUGUCCCGAUUUGUGAUUGGGUAGGCUUUAAGUUAUCUGAGGCUGUGGAGGUGAAAUGGGGACUAAAAAGGUUGG
Molecule: non-coding RNA, 1148 nt
Organism: Arvicanthis niloticus (Nile rat)
Lineage: Eukaryota; Metazoa; Chordata; Mammalia; Rodentia; Muridae
Source: RefSeq, a predicted model, not a curated record